UACAGAGGUGGCAAGCGUUGUUCGGAAUUACUGGGCGUAAAGGGCGCGUAGGCGGCCUUCUAAGUCGGACGUGAAAUCCCCAGGCUUAACCUGGGAACUGCGUCUGAUACUGGAUGGCUUGAAUUCGGGAGAGGGAUGCAGAAUUCCAGGUGUAGCGGUGAAAUGCGUAGAUAUCUGGAGGAAUACCGGUGGCGAAGGCGGCAUCCUGGACCGAGAUUGACACUGAUGAGCGAAAGCCAGGGGAGCAAACGGG
Molecule: ribosomal RNA, 253 nt
Filed under: uncultured bacterium
Lineage: Bacteria
Description: partial 16S ribosomal RNA
Rfam family: Bacterial small subunit ribosomal RNA
Source: RNAcentral